GACGAACGCUGGCGGCGUGCUUAACACAUGCAAGUCGAACGAUGAAGAAGAGAAACGCGAACUUCGGUUCAAAUUUCACUUCGGAUUAGUGGCAGACGGGUGAGUAACGCGUGAGCAACCUACCUCUUACAAAGGGAUAGCCUCGGGAAACCGUGAUUAAUACCAUAUGACACCUUCAUAAAGCAUCUUAAGAAUGUUAAAGCUACGGCGGUAAGAGAUGGGCUCGCGUCCCAUUAGCUAGUUGGUGAGGUAACGGCCCACCAAGGCGACGAUGGGUAACCGGCCUGAGAGGGUGAACGGUCACAUUGGAACUGAGACACGGUCCAAACUCCUACGGGAGGCAGCAGUGGGGAAUAUUGCACAAUGGAGGGAACUCUGAUGCAGCGACGCCGCGUGAGCGAUGAAGGAAUUCGUUUCGUAAAGCUCUGUUCUAUGGGAAGAAAAGGACUGUACCAUAGGAGAAAGCCCCGGCUAAAUACGUG
This 482-nucleotide ribosomal RNA is filed under the name uncultured bacterium. RNAcentral's name for it is "partial 16S ribosomal RNA". It matches the Rfam family "Bacterial small subunit ribosomal RNA", at positions 28 to 507 of the family's 1533-position model. The record is from RNAcentral.